Molecule: ribosomal RNA, 261 nt
Filed under: uncultured Anaerolineaceae bacterium
Lineage: Bacteria; Bacillati; Chloroflexota; Anaerolineae; Anaerolineales; Anaerolineaceae
Description: partial 16S ribosomal RNA
Rfam family: Bacterial small subunit ribosomal RNA
Source: RNAcentral
CUGUGUGUUACAAGUGUCACACGGAACUGCCGGUCAUAAACCGGAGGAAGGUGGGAUGACGUCAAGUCAGCAUGGCCUUUAUAUCCUGGGCUACACACACGCUACAAUGGGAAGGGACAAUAGGUUGCGAAGCCGCGAGGCGGAGCCAAUCCAGCAAAACUUCCCUCAGUUCAGAUUGCAGGCUGCAACUCGCCUGCAUGAAGUUGGAGUUGCUAGUAAACGCAGGUCAGCCAUACUGCGUUGAAUACGUUCCCGGGCCUU